AAAAAGUUAGUUAAAAUAACAUAAAUUUGUCAAAUUUAAAUUAUUAGAUUAAUUCUAAUACUUUUUU
Molecule: transfer RNA, 67 nt
Filed under: Agapetus zniachtl
Lineage: Eukaryota; Metazoa; Arthropoda; Insecta; Trichoptera; Glossosomatidae
Description: tRNA-Asp
Rfam family: tRNA
About the family: Transfer RNA (tRNA) molecules are approximately 80 nucleotides in length. Their secondary structure includes four short double-helical elements and three loops (D, anti-codon, and T loops). Further hydrogen bonds mediate the characteristic L-shaped molecular structure. tRNAs have two regions of fundamental functional importance: the anti-codon, which is responsible for specific mRNA codon recognition, and the 3' end, to which the tRNAs corresponding amino acid is attached (by aminoacyl-tRNA synthetases). tRNAs cope with the degeneracy of the genetic code in two manners: having more than one tRNA (with a specific anti-codon) for a particular amino acid; and 'wobble' base-pairing, i.e. permitting non-standard base-pairing at the 3rd anti-codon position.
Source: RNAcentral